UCCAGACUCCUACGGGAGGCAGCAGUGGGGGAUAUUGCACAAUGGGGGAAACCCUGAUGCAGCGACGCCGCGUGAGUGAAGAAGUAUUUCGGUAUGUAAAGCUCUAUCAGCAGGGAAGAAAAAAGACGGUACCUGACUAAGAAGCCCCGGCUAACUACGUGCCAGCAGCCGCGGUAAUACGUAGGGGGCAAGCGUUAUCCGGAUUUACUGGGUGUAAAGGGAGCGUAGACGGCAAUACAAGUCGGAAGUGAAAUACCCGGGCUCAACCUGGGAACUGCUUUGGAAACUGUAUGGCUGGAGUGCUGGAGAGGUAAGCGGAAUUCCUAGUGUAGCGGUGAAAUGCGUAGAUAUUAGGAGGAACACCAGUGGCGAAGGCGGCUUACUGGACAGUAACUGACGUUGAGGCUCGAAAGCGUGGGGAGCAAACAGGAUUAGAUACCCCGGUAUC
RNAcentral lists this ribosomal RNA (448 nucleotides) under uncultured bacterium. RNAcentral's name for it is "partial 16S ribosomal RNA". It matches the Rfam family "Bacterial small subunit ribosomal RNA", at positions 330 to 794 of the family's 1533-position model. The record is from RNAcentral.